Molecule: long non-coding RNA, 1459 nt
Filed under: Eufriesea mexicana
Lineage: Eukaryota; Metazoa; Arthropoda; Insecta; Hymenoptera; Apidae
Description: uncharacterized LOC108554228, transcript variant X2
Source: RNAcentral
UUAUACGUGUUUACUAUAAAGUUGUGUGUAGUUUCAUUGAAGAAGAUGUAAAUCUACUUCAUUCUAAGUGGAUACAAUUUAAGUGAUAGAUCUGGAGUGACUCGUGAAGCCAGAGAUCUUUCUAGGGUUAAAAGCAAUCUGCGAUUUCUAUGUAUGUUACGUACCGUGAUACAGUAUCCUUAGUAUUUUUAAUUCUUUUUAAUUUUACAUUUCUCUCCCCUUUUAAAUUACUCUCGUAUACUGCACACUUUUGUAUCUUAACUGUUUAUAAAUGUUUCUCUUCUAAUUUUCAUAUGCUGUAGAAUAUAUAAAAUACACUUAAUGUACAUAUGAACAAAGUAGCUUAAUUGAGAGCGGGAAAAAGGAACCUGGAAAUGAAGGUUAAGUAGACAGUGCAAACAGCGUUGAAAGGAUAAUAGACACAACACCAUCUACUGGAAACAAACGGCGUUCGCAACUGCCAGAAUUCGAUGUUCUCAUUCUCACAUCAAUUCGUUCAUCGUCAGGAGGUGUCACUACUAAUAUUUCUAGCGCGUUCGUAAAACUUUCUCGUAGGUUAUAUUAUCAAACUGCAAUACGUUUAAAUUAAUAUUAAUAACAUUUAUCGUGCAAUGCAACUUUAAAGUUGUUUCUAAGGAACUGCAUGUACUUUGUAAGUGAUAUUACGUGCAAGUACGCCUUCAAAGAGUACAAAGCACGCAACUUUAAAUACAAUUUCCUCUCAACAUUUCAACUAUAUAUUCGGCUGCAGUAUAAUACACAACAUACUAAAAAUACUCCAGACGAAACAAACACUCGUAUACCUAAAUAUUCAGCGAAACCGUUUACUUCAAAGAAUUUUACGCAGAGGUUAAUUCAGCGAAGAAUAGAAGCAAGAAUCAGUAACGAAAUUUCCAAAUUAUCCGACACACAUCUGGAAUUAUUCUCAGAGGCCACGUUUUGAAACGAACCGGCAUACCGUUGGUAAUGCAACUGCAGGGUACCAUUUAGAGAAGUUAACCAAAUCGAUCCUGAAACCUGCAAAAUCGGUAAAGAGAUCACCAGGCUAGCAGGUCUCGUUUAGAAAUCACAAUGGCUGGCCAAAAGUUGGUAAACCAGAAGAGGGCGUGUGCGAUUAUCCAGGCAGCGUUAAGCGAAGCGACUUGAAAUCUAGAUGUUACCGAUAAGACCAUAUCUGCAAGAUACGAUCAGCACCUCAAUGCCAGCGGCAUGUCGCUGGGUUGAAUUUGAAGAGAAGUGAGAAAGAAAGGGAGGUAUGGCGGUAAACGACGAAGAGGAAUAGAGAAAAGAAAGGGAAAAACAGCACGAGAAAGAUCGCGGAACGAGGAAGGAAGGAAGUGAAGAGGUUUGCCGUUUACAUACCGCGGUAUUUCCGGUACCGUGUCUUCCGGCGAUUCGAAAGAACCGGAGGAGCUUCCCCGACUGAGUCUCCUCUCUUUUCUGAACCCCGUGAGCAACA